UACGGGGGGGGCAAGCGUUGUUCGGAAUUACUGGGCGUAAAGGGCUCGUAGGCGGCCAACUAAGUCGGACGUGAAAUCCCUCGGCUUAACCGGGGAACUGCGUCUGAUACUGGAUGGCUUGAGUUUGGGAGAGGGAUGCGGAAUUCCAGGUGUAGCGGUGAAAUGCGUAGAUAUCUGGAGGAACACCGGUGGCGAAGGCGGCAUCCUGGACCAACACUGACACUGAUGAGCGAAAGCCAGGGGAGCAAACGGG
RNAcentral lists this ribosomal RNA (253 nucleotides) under uncultured bacterium. RNAcentral's name for it is "partial 16S ribosomal RNA". It matches the Rfam family "Bacterial small subunit ribosomal RNA", at positions 524 to 776 of the family's 1533-position model. The record is from RNAcentral.